UACAGAGGGUGCAAGCGUUGUUCGGAAUUAUUGGGCGUAAAGCGCGUGUAGGCGGCUUUGCAAGUCGGGUGUGAAAGCCCUCAGCUCAACUGAGGAAGUGCGCCCGAAACUGCAGAGCUUGAGUGCCGGAGAGGGUGGCGGAAUUCCCCAAGUAGAGGUGAAAUUCGUAGAUAUUGGGAGGAACACCAGUGGCGAAGGCGGCUACCUGGACCGGUUCUGACGCUGAGGCGCGAAAGCGUGGGUAGCAAACAGG
Molecule: ribosomal RNA, 253 nt
Filed under: uncultured bacterium
Lineage: Bacteria
Description: partial 16S ribosomal RNA
Rfam family: Bacterial small subunit ribosomal RNA
Source: RNAcentral